Molecule: unclassified non-coding RNA, 211 nt
Filed under: Hevea brasiliensis (rubber tree)
Lineage: Eukaryota; Viridiplantae; Streptophyta; Magnoliopsida; Malpighiales; Euphorbiaceae
Source: RNAcentral
GAAAUGAAGAGUCAAGGUGUUGAAGAGAGCAGAUUGCAACUUCUGCAAGAUGUUAGUGGUGCUUUUAGGCCUGGUAUUCUAACAGCAUUGGUAGGUGUGAGUGGUGCUGGAAAGACCACCCUAAUGGAUGUCUUAGCAGGAAGGAAGACUGGUGGACAUAUUGAAGGAAGCAUAAGCAUUUCUGGUUAUCCAAAGAACCAAAAAACAUUUG